UGAGUAACCUGCCCUUAACUCUGGGAUAAGCCUGGGAAACUGGGUCUAAUACCGGAUAUGACUCCUCAUCGCAUGGUGGGGGGUGGAAAGCUUUUUGUGGUUUUGGAUGGACUCGCGGCCUAUCAGCUUGUUGGUGAGGUAAUGGCUCACCAAGGCGACGACGGGUAGCCGGCCUGAGAGGGCGAUCGGCCACACUGGGACUGAGACACGGUCCAGACCUCCUACGGGGAGGCAG
RNAcentral lists this ribosomal RNA (235 nucleotides) under uncultured bacterium. RNAcentral's name for it is "partial 16S ribosomal RNA". It matches the Rfam family "Bacterial small subunit ribosomal RNA", at positions 118 to 351 of the family's 1533-position model. The record is from RNAcentral.